GGCCUCAUACAUGCAAGUCGAGCGGUCCUUCGGGACAGCGGCGAACGGGUUAGUAACGCGUGGGAACGUGCCCCUUAGUACGGAAUAGCCAUUGGAAACGAUGAUUAAUACCGUAUACGCCCCAAGGGGGAAAGAUUUAUCGCUAAAGGAUCGGCCCGCGUUAGAUUAGAUAGUUGGUAGGGUAACGGCCUACCAAGCCGACGAUCUAUAGCUGGUUUGAGAGGAUGAUCAGCAACACUGGGACUGAGACACGGCCCAGACUUCUACGGAAGGCAGCAGUAGGGAAUCUUGGACAAUGGGCGUAAGCCUGAUCCAGCCAUGCCGCGUGAGUGAUGAAGGCCCUAGGGUUGUAAAGCUCUUUCGCCAGGGAAGAUAAUGACGGUACCUGGUAAAGAAACCCCGGCUAACUCCGUGCCAGCAGCCGCGGUAAUACGGAGGGGGUUAGCGUUGUUCGGAAUUACUGGGCGUAGAGCGCACGUAGGCGGAUUAAUAAGUCAGGGGUGAAAUCCCGAGGCUCAACCUCAGAACUGCCUUUGAUACUGUUAGUCUUGAGUUCGAGAGAGGUGAGUGGAAUUCCGAG
This 580-nucleotide ribosomal RNA is filed under the name uncultured Alphaproteobacteria bacterium. Its description in RNAcentral is "bacterial SSU rRNA". It matches the Rfam family "Bacterial small subunit ribosomal RNA", at positions 45 to 673 of the family's 1533-position model. Lineage: Bacteria; Pseudomonadati; Pseudomonadota; Alphaproteobacteria. The record is from RNAcentral.